RNAcentral lists this ribosomal RNA (680 nucleotides) under uncultured bacterium. RNAcentral's name for it is "bacterial SSU rRNA". It matches the Rfam family "Bacterial small subunit ribosomal RNA", at positions 127 to 802 of the family's 1533-position model. The record is from RNAcentral.
UGCCUUGUAGCGGGGGAUAACGUUUCGAAAGGAACGCUAAUACCGCAUACGUCCUACGGGAGAAAGGAGGGGAUCUUCGGACCUUCCACUAUAAGAUGAGCCCAAGUGAGAUUAGCUAGUUGGUGAGGUAAAGGCUCACCAAGGCGACGAUCUCUAGCUGGUCUGAGAGGAUGAUCAGCCACACUGGAACUGAGACACGGUCCAGACUCCUACGGGAGGCAGCAGUGGGGAAUAUUGGACAAUGGGCGAAAGCCUGAUCCAGCCAUGCCGCGUGUGUGAAGAAGGCCUUCGGGUUGUAAAGCACUUUAAGCGAGGAGGAAUGGCUCUGGGUUAAUACCCUUGAGCAGUGACGUUACUCGCAGAAUAAGCACCGGCUAACUCUGUGCCAGCAGCCGCGGUAAUACAGAGGGUGCAAGCGUUAAUCGGAAUUACUGGGCGUAAAGCGCGCGUAGGCGGUUACGUAAGUUGGAGGUGAAAUCCCCGAGCUCAACUUGGGAAUUGCCUUCAAAACUGCGUGGCUAGAGUGUGGGAGAGGAAGGUAGAAUUCCAGGUGUAGCGGUGAAAUGCGUAGAUAUCUGGAGGAAUACCGAUGGCGAAGGCAGCCUUCUGGCCUAACACUGACGCUGAGGUGCGAAAGCAUGGGGAGCAAACAGGAUUAGAUACCCUGGUAGUCCAUGCCG